UGGCCACAAAAUCUGAGAAUGACUCCUGUGU
Molecule: non-coding RNA, 31 nt
Filed under: Mus musculus (house mouse)
Lineage: Eukaryota; Metazoa; Chordata; Mammalia; Rodentia; Muridae
Source: RNAcentral